AGGGUUUGAUCCUGGGCUCAGGACGAACGCUGGCGGCGUGCUUAACACAUGCAAGUCGAACGAUGAAGCCCUUCGGGGUGGAUUAGUGGCGAACGGGUGAGUAACACGUGGGCAAUCUGCCCUUCACUCUGGGACAAGCCCUGGAAACGGGGUCUAAUACCGGAUAACACUCUGUCCCGCAUGGGACGGGGUUAAAAGCUCCGGCGGUGAAGGAUGAGCCCGCGGCCUAUCAGCUUGUUGGUGGGGUGAUGGCCUACCAAGGCGACGACGGGUAGCCGGCCUGAGAGGGCGACCGGCCACACUGGGACUGAGACACGGCCCAGACUCCUACGGGAGGCAGCAGUGGGGAAUAUUGCACAAUGGGCGAAAGCCUGAUGCAGCGACGCCGCGUGAGGGAUGACGGCCUUCGGGUUGUAAACCUCUUUCAGCAGGGAAGAAGCGAAAGUGACGGUACCUGCAGAAGAAGCGCCGGCUAACUACGUGCCACAGCCGCGGUAAUACGUAGGGCGCAAGCGUUGUCCGGAAUUAUUGGGCGUAAAGAGCUCGUAGGCGGCUUGUCACGUCGGAUGUGAAAGCCCGGGGCUUUACCCCGGGUCUGCUUUCGAUACGGGGUAGCUAGANUGUGGUAGGGGAGAUCGGAAUUCCUGGUGUAGCGGUGAAUUGCGCAGAUAUCAGGAGGAACACCGGUGGCGAAGGCGGAUCUCUGGGCCAUUACUGACGCUGAGGAGCGAAAGCGUGGGGAGCGAACAGGAUUAGAUACCCUGGUAGUCCACGCCGUAAAAGUUGGGAACUAAGGUGUUGGCGAACCAUUCCACUUCGUCGGUGCCCGGCAGUUAAACGCAUUAAAGUUCCCCAGCCUGGGGAGUACCGGCCGCAAGGCUAAAACUCAAAGGAAUUGACGGGGGCCCCGCACAAGCAGCGGAGCAUGUGGCUUAAUUCGACGCAACGCGAAGAACCUUACCAAGGCUUGACAUAUACCGGAAAGCAUCAGAGAUGGUGCCCCCCUUGUGGUCGGUAUACAGGUGGUGCAUGGCUGUCGUCAGCUCGUGUCGUGAGAUGUUGGGUUAAGUCCCGCAACGAGCGCAACCCUUGUUCUGUGUUGCCAGCAUGCCCUUCGGGGUGAUGGGGACUCACAGGAGACUGCCGGGGUCAACUCGGAGGAAGGUGGGGACGACGUCAAGUCAUCAUGCCCCUUAUGUCUUGGGCUGCACACGUGCUACAAUGGCCGGUACAAUGAGCUGCGAUGCCGCGAGGCGGAGCGAAUCUCAAAAAGCCGGUCUCAGUUCGGAUUGGGGUCUGCAACUCGACCCCAUGAAGUCGGAGUUGCUAGUAAUCGCAGAUCAGCAUUGCUGCGGUGAAUACGUUCCCGGGCCUUGUACACACCGCCCGUCACGUCACGAAAGUCGGUAACACCCGAGGCCGGUGGCCCAACCCCUUGUGGGAGGGAGCCGUCGAAGGUGGGACUGGCGAUUGGGACGAAGUCGUAACAAGGUAACC
This 1497-nucleotide ribosomal RNA is filed under the name uncultured Actinomycetes bacterium. RNAcentral describes it as "uncultured actinobacterium 16S ribosomal RNA". It matches the Rfam family "Bacterial small subunit ribosomal RNA". Lineage: Bacteria; Bacillati; Actinomycetota; Actinomycetes. The record is from RNAcentral.